RNAcentral lists this ribosomal RNA (476 nucleotides) under uncultured bacterium. RNAcentral describes it as "bacterial SSU rRNA". It matches the Rfam family "Bacterial small subunit ribosomal RNA", at positions 791 to 1266 of the family's 1533-position model. The record is from RNAcentral.
UAGUCCACGCCGUAAACGAUGUCAACUAGCCGUUGGGAGCAUAUAAGCUCUGAGUGGCGCAGCUAACGCGAUAAGUUGACCGCCUGGGGAGUACGCCGGCAACGGUAAAACUCAAAGGAAUUGACGGGGGGCCCGCACAAGCGGUGGAGCAUGUGGUUUAAUUCGAUGAUACGCGAGGAACCUUACCUGGACUUAAAUGUAGGCUGCAUAAUUCAGAGAUGAAUUUUUCUUCGGACUGCUUACAAGGUGCUGCAUGGUUGUCGUCAGCUCGUGCCGUGAGGUGUCGGGUUAAGUCCCAUAACGAGCGCAACCCCUAUCGUUAGUUGCCAUCAGGUUAAGCUGGGGACUCUAACGAAACUGCCUGUGCAAACAGAGAGGAAGGUGGGGAUGACGUCAAAUCAGCACGGCCCUUACGUCCAGGGGCUACACACGUGUUACAAUGGCAUAGACAAAGGGCAGCUACAUAGCGAUAUGAU